Molecule: ribosomal RNA, 799 nt
Filed under: uncultured Glomeromycotina
Lineage: Eukaryota; Fungi; Glomeromycota
Description: SSU rRNA
Rfam family: Eukaryotic small subunit ribosomal RNA
Source: RNAcentral
AUCAACUUUCGAUGGUAGGAUAGAGGCCUACCAUGGUGGUAACGGGUAACGGGGUGUUAGGGCACGACACCGGAGAGGGAGCCUGAGAAACGGCUACCACAUCCAAGGAUGGCAGCAGGCGCGCAAAUUACCCAAUCCCGACACGGGGAGGUAGUGACAAUAAAUAACAAUACGGGGUCCUUUCGGGUUUCGUAAUUGGAAUGAGUACAAUUUAAAUCUCUUAACGAGGAACAAUUGGAGGGCAAGUCUGGUGCCAGCAGCCGCGGUAAUUCCAGCUCCAAUAGCGUAUAUUAAAGUUGUUGCAGUUAAAAAGCUCGUAGUUGAAUUUCGGGAUCAGUACGUCGGUCGUGCCUCUGGUAUGUACUGGUGUUACUGGUUCCUCCCUUCUGAAGAACUGUCAUGUCAUUUAUUUGGUGUGGCGGGGAAUCAGGACUGUUACUUUGAAAAAAUUAGAGUGUUUAAAGCAGGCUCGCGCUUGAAUACAUUAGCAUGGAAUAAUGAAAUAGGACGUUUGAUCCUAUUUCGUUGGUUCCUAGGAUUGACGUAAUGAUUAAUAGGGAUAGUUGGGGGCAUUAGUAUUCAAUUGUCAGAGGUGAAAUUCUUGGAUUUAUUGAAGACUAACUACUGCGAAAGCAUUUGCCAAGGAUGUUUUCAUUAAUCAAGAACGAAAGUUAGGGGAUCGAAGACGAUCAGAUACCGUCGUAGUCUUAACCAUAAACUAUGCCGACUAGGGAUCGGAUGAUGUUAAUUUUUUAAUGACUCAUUCGGCGCCUUACGGGAAACCAAAGUGUUUGGGUUC